Cyanistes caeruleus (blue tit) is the source of this 504-nucleotide long non-coding RNA. RefSeq lists it as uncharacterized. The record is from RefSeq and is a predicted model, not a curated record. Lineage: Eukaryota; Metazoa; Chordata; Aves; Passeriformes; Paridae.
GGGAAAACCGGGAGCUCCGGGAAUGGGAAAACCCUGGAACAGCGUCCCCGACACCUACACCACCUCCUCCUGCCGCUCUGUGAUCAAACCGCGCCAAUGGCAGCUGCAGGGAGAGCUGAGGCCCACCUGAAAAUUCCGUAAAAUUCCAUAAAAUUCCAUAAAAUUCCAUAAAAUUCCAUAAAAUUCCCACUUUUUUUUUUUCGCUGUCAGCUCCCAGAGGAGCCAGGACUUUCUGGGAAAUUCUAUCACUUCAUCUUGGAGCUCAGGGCCAGGCAAAUCCUCUGGAAUCAGGAGCAGCUCCAGGGAAAGCGCAGGAGGAGAAUUCCCACCGGGAAGGCCAAAAAACGUUGGGAAAAACGGGAUAAACGAAACCCCAAACCCACGGAAAAUUCUGGAAAAUCACCUCAGCACGCCGGGAUAACAACCAAAGUGUCCAAAUGUUUUUUUAUUCCUCACGAGUGACACGAACCACAUGAAUUCCACGGAGCCUCCUUCAAAAAAAAA